UACGAAGGGGGCUAGCGUUGCUCGGAAUGACUGGGCGUAAAGGGCGCGUAGGCGGCCUUCUAAGUCAGACGUGAAAUCCCCCGGCUUAACCUGGGAACUGCGUCUGAUACUGGGAGGCUUGAGUAUGGGAGAGGGAUGUAGAAUUCCAGGUGUAGCGGUGAAAUGCGUAGAUAUCUGGAGGAAUACCGGUGGCGAAGGCGGCAUCCUGGACCAUAACUGACGCUGAGGCGCGAAAGCUAGGGGAGCAAACGGGG
Molecule: ribosomal RNA, 254 nt
Filed under: uncultured bacterium
Lineage: Bacteria
Description: partial 16S ribosomal RNA
Rfam family: Bacterial small subunit ribosomal RNA
Source: RNAcentral